RNAcentral lists this ribosomal RNA (459 nucleotides) under uncultured bacterium. RNAcentral describes it as "partial 16S ribosomal RNA". It matches the Rfam family "Bacterial small subunit ribosomal RNA", at positions 338 to 795 of the family's 1533-position model. The record is from RNAcentral.
CCUACGGGAGGCAGCAGUGAGGAAUAUUGGUCAAUGGGCGGAAGCCUGAACCAGCCAAGUAGCGUGCGGGAUGAAGGCCCUACGGGUCGUAAACCGCUUUUGCACGGGGAUAACACCCUCCACUUGUGGAGGUCUGCAGGUACCGUGCGAAUAAGGGCCGGCUAAUUCCGUGCCAGCAGCCGCGGUAAUACGGAAGGCCCGAGCGUUAUCCGGAUUCAUUGGGCUUAAAGGGAGCGUAGGCGGGCGUUCAAGUCAGCUGUAAAAUCGCGCGGCUCAACCGCGCCCCGCAGUUGAAACUGGUCUUCUUGAGUGAGCGAGAAGUAUGCGGAAUGCGUGGUGUAGCGGUGAAAUGCAUAGAUAUCACGCAGAACUCCGAUUGCGAAGGCAGCAUACCGGCGCUCAACUGACGCUGAGGCACGAAAGCGUGGGGAUCGAACAGGAUUAGAUACCCGAGUAGUC